RNAcentral lists this ribosomal RNA (446 nucleotides) under Vibrio sinaloensis. RNAcentral's name for it is "bacterial SSU rRNA". It matches the Rfam family "Bacterial small subunit ribosomal RNA", at positions 19 to 451 of the family's 1533-position model. The record is from RNAcentral. Lineage: Bacteria; Pseudomonadati; Pseudomonadota; Gammaproteobacteria; Vibrionales; Vibrionaceae.
CUGGCUCAGAUUGAACGCUGGCGGCAGGCCUAACACAUGCAAGUCGAGCGGAAACGAGUUAACUGNACCUUCGGGGAACGUUAACGGCGUCGAGCGGCGGACGGGUGAGUAAUGCCUGGGAAAUUGCCCUGAUGUGGGGGAUAACCAUUGGAAACGAUGGCUAAUACCGCAUAAUAGCUUCGGCUCAAAGAGGGGGACCUUCGGGCCUCUCGCGUCAGGAUAUGCCCAGGUGGGAUUAGCUAGUUGGUGAGGUAAGGGCUCACCAAGGCGACGAUCCCUAGCUGGUCUGAGAGGAUGAUCAGCCACACUGGAACUGAGACACGGUCCAGACUCCUACGGGAGGCAGCAGUGGGGAAUAUUGCACAAUGGGCGCAAGCCUGAUGCAGCCAUGCCGCGUGUAUGAAGAAGGCCUUCGGGUUGUAAAGUACUUUCAGCAGUGAGGAAGG